Molecule: ribosomal RNA, 923 nt
Filed under: uncultured Cortinarius
Lineage: Eukaryota; Fungi; Basidiomycota; Agaricomycetes; Agaricales; Cortinariaceae
Description: eukaryotic LSU rRNA
Rfam family: Eukaryotic large subunit ribosomal RNA
Source: RNAcentral
UAGCAUAUCAAUAAGCGGAGGAAAAGAAACUAACAAGGAUUCCCCUAGUAACUGCGAGUGAAGCGGGAAAAGCUCAAAUUUAAAAUCUGGCAGUCUUUGGCUGUCCGAGUUGUAAACUAGAGAAGUGCUAUCCGCGCUGGACCGUGUACAAGUCUCCUGGAAUGGAGCGUCAUAGAGGGUGAGAAUCCCGUCUUUGACACGGACUACCAGGGCUUUUGUGAUGUGCUCUCAAAGAGUCGAGUUGUUUGGGAAUGCAGCUCAAAAUGGGUGGUAAAUUCCAUCUAAAGCUAAAUAUUGGCGAGAGACCGAUAGCGAACAAGUACCGUGAGGGAAAGAUGAAAAGAACUUUGGAAAGAGAGUUAAACAGUACGUGAAAUUGCUGAAAGGGAAACGCUUGAAGUCAGUCACGUUGUCCAGGGAUCAACCUUGCUUUUGCUUGGUGCACUUUCUGGUUGACGGGUCAGCAUCAAUUUUGAUCAUUGGAAAAAGGUCAAGGGAAUGUGGCAUCUUAGGAUGUGUUAUAGCCCUUGGUUGCAUACAAUGGUUGGGAUUGAGGAACUCAGCACGCCGCAAGGCCGGGUUUUUAACCACGUACGUGCUUAGGAUGCUGGCAUAAUGGCUUUAAUCGACCCGUCUUGAAACACGGACCAAGGAGUCUAACAUGCCUGCGAGUGUUUGGGUGGAAAACCCGAGCGCGUAAUGAAAGUGAAAGUUGAGAUCCCUAUCGUGGGGAGCAUCGACGCCCGGACCAGACCUUUUGUGACGGUUCCGCGGUAGAGCAUGUAUGUUGGGACCCGAAAGAUGGUGAACUAUGCCUGAAUAGGGUGAAGCCAGAGGAAACUCUGGUGGAGGCUCGUAGCGAUUCUGACGUGCAAAUCGAUCGUCAAAUUUGGGUAUAGGGGCGAAAGACUAAUCGAACCAUC